This 493-nucleotide ribosomal RNA is filed under the name uncultured bacterium. RNAcentral's name for it is "partial 16S ribosomal RNA". It matches the Rfam family "Bacterial small subunit ribosomal RNA", at positions 29 to 523 of the family's 1533-position model. The record is from RNAcentral.
AUUGAACGCUGGCGGCAUGCUUUACACAUGCAAGUCGAACGGUAACAGGGUAAGCUAACGAGUGGCGAACGGUUGAGUAAUGCAUCGGAACGUGCCCGACCGGGGGGGAUAACGCAGCGAAAGCUGCGCUGAUACCGCAUCCGAUCUGCGGAUGAAAGCGGGGGACCGUAAGGCCUCGCGCGAUCGGAACAGCCUAUGGUCGAUUAGGUAGUUGGUGGGGUAAAGGCUCACGAAGCCGACGAUCUGUAGCUGGUCUGAGAGGACGACCAGCCACACUGGGACUGAGACACGGCCCAGACUCCUACGGGAGGCAGCAGUGGGGAAUUUUGGACAAUGGGCGAAAGCCUGAUCCAGCAAUGCCGCGUGCAGGAAGAAGGCCUUCGGGUUGUAAACUGCUUUUGUACGGAGCGAAAAGGCUCUCUCUAAUACAGGGGGCUCAUGACGGUACCGUAAGAAUAAGCACCGGCUAACUACGUGCCAGCAGCCGCAGUAA